UGAGCAAGAGUGGCACUGCUGGCCCGGUGGU
RNAcentral lists this non-coding RNA (31 nucleotides) under Mus musculus (house mouse). The record is from RNAcentral. Lineage: Eukaryota; Metazoa; Chordata; Mammalia; Rodentia; Muridae.